Aotus nancymaae (Ma's night monkey) is the source of this 102-nucleotide unclassified non-coding RNA. It matches the Rfam family "Y RNA". From Rfam's summary of the family: Y RNAs are components of the Ro ribonucleoprotein particle (Ro RNP), in association with Ro60 and La proteins. The Y RNAs and Ro60 and La proteins are well conserved, but the function of the Ro RNP is not known. In humans the RNA component can be one of four small RNAs -- hY1, hY3, hY4 and hY5. NCBI's taxonomy places the organism in Eukaryota, Metazoa, Chordata, Mammalia, Primates, Aotidae. The record is from Ensembl.
AGCUGGUCCAAGUGCAGUAGUGUUUACAACUAGUUGAUCACAACCAGUUACAGAUUUCUUUGUUCCUUCUCCACUCCCACUGCUUCACUUGACUAGCCUAAA